Long non-coding RNA from Bubalus bubalis (water buffalo), 4422 nucleotides. RefSeq lists it as uncharacterized. NCBI's taxonomy places the organism in Eukaryota, Metazoa, Chordata, Mammalia, Artiodactyla, Bovidae. The record is from RefSeq and is a predicted model, not a curated record. The transcript is spliced from 5 exons.
CCAGGUUUAGAACCAUUGAACCAGGCUCCCCUCUACUGGGUGGCAGAAUUUGCCAGUAGGGGUGUGGGGCUGUAUUUUAUUUUCUCAGUUUGGGAAGGGACAGGCAGGAGCUGAGAAAAGGAUUCGCCUAUAGCCGGAAGAUUAGGGGCCAAACAGAGGCCAGGAACUGAAAGAGUUAAAACUGGGCAUUGAUCCCGGCGACCUUGGCUGGCCUGUUAGCGCCCGCACAGCACACACAUAAGGACCCUUCGCGCGGGGACUGUCCCAGAGACUCGCCUGCGCCGCGCCGUUGGGUUGCGAAGGCCCAAAAAUCCCACACCGCCUCCGAAGCCGUGUCAGCUGCAGCCUUGGGUAUCUUUGGGGAACCCUGGUUAGCCCCUGGUCCGGUGAUCCAGCCCCCGAGGCACUUUCCCGUGCCAUGCUGGGCACUGUAAAAAUCAGAAAGUUGCUUCUGUUCGGGGCCCCGGGAAGGGCCGAGCUGCCCUACUCCCAACCCGGCCUCGCAGGGAGGCCUCCGGGAAAGGACAGAGGGCAUCGCGCGGGGACCGUGCGUCGGAGGCGGCGGGUCACUUGAGCCCCUGCGAGGUGGCGCGGAGAUCUGCGGGGACAGCACAGGGUCGCGCCGCCCCCUGGCGGCUCAGUGGCAGAGUUGAGGCUGGGGGCGGGCGGCAGCGGGAGUCUGGCCGCUCCGGGACAGGUUCCUUGUUCCCAGAGACGAGCGGGGGAAGGAUGUUGAAAAGACGCCCCCACGAAGACUGUCCUGUCCCUCCUCACUUCCGCUCUGCCUCUGUCCCUUUCUCGAUUUUAUCUCUCUUCCUUCUCCCCCCAUCUCGCCCACUCUUCCUGCCCUUCCCCCUCCCGUCCUCACUCCCUCUCCUACCCACCCCCCUUCCUUUCUCUCGUCCUUCGCCCGCCCCCUCCCGCCCCCGCGGGGCAGCGCCUGGGUGCGCCCGCUUGGCAGUUAGCCCAUUAGAUCUCGUACUAUUGAUCCGCUUCUGAGCUGAAGCUGACAGCCCCCCACCCCCUUCCCGUUCUCUCCUUGUUCCCAUUCCUGUCCGCCCCCCCACCACCCCAACUCCAGGCGGUCCUGGCCUGUGCCUUCCCCUCCACUCAAACCCCCACGCGGGCUGCGCCGAAGUCUCGCCCUCACGAAGGACAAGAACAAAUGUAAUUAACGCGACUAGCGAGGGGGGUGAGCCCCUACCCGCAUAGGCUCGAGCCGGGGUCCCAGCGGUCCGCCCCCUGCCCGCCGUCUCCCUCCCGCCCCCACGCUCCCCGCCCCCCGGAGCGGGAGCAUUUGGGUUGAGCUGCGCCUGCCCUAUAAAUCCACAUAUAAUUCUCGCCUUUCCUGUUCAGCUAAGGAAAAUAAACGUGUAAGGCUGUUUCUGGGAGCCCAGCUCAGGGACCGCUCUAAAUUCUCCUCUUAUUGAGUCCGGGCUGGAAAUCAUUCAGUUCGGCGGCGCGCCCCCACCCUCCCCACCCCAUAGCCCGCCGCAAGCCCGCGCCCGCGCCCGCCGCGCACACGCACGCGCGCACACGGGAGGCAAGAGCCGGGUAUAUAAAUAUCUCCAGCUCUCCCCAUAGCCGGGCAGAUUUAUUCCGCUGCCAAGCCUGCAGAAAAUUGACUUGUUCAUGGAGGCGGCUAUUGACACAUCACCGGGGGGAGGGUUAGGGGAGAAAGCAGUGGAGCCGGCGCCCCUCCAUUAUACGUUAAUGUAAUCAGCAGUGUGCGAAAUGACUGCGCGGAAAAUAGCAUCACUGACAUUUAUAUUAGAGGAUAUUGAUGGCAGGAGCUGUGACCGCAUCACUCUGCCUCCCGUUUCCACGGAUUGACACAGGAGCCUCUUGUUGGCUCCAUCCACGCUCGCCUCCCCUCCCCCUCCCUCGCCUUCUCUCCCUCUCUCCACCCACUGUCUCUCUCCUCGCCUCUCCCCCACCCUCCCAAUUCACUCUUCCAGACGCUCAUUUUCCAAAUAAUUCUUGAGCACCUACUGGGUGCCACGUGCAGGGUCUCUCCCGCGCGCCUGUCUCUAGGUUUCUCUCUUUCUUCCCAACCGUGCCCUUGCCCUCUUUCUCCCCUCUCCCCAGCUCUGCCUCCCCCUCCCCCUUCCCUGGCUGGGUGGUUGGACCGCUGCUGUCAGAGCAGAUAGAUAAUUGAAAAAUGGGCCUCACCUUUGCAGCCAGCAGGAGUGGUUCAGGCAGUUACGGCCGGGGUUACCUACUCCAUCUCAGGCCCAGGCUCCAAAAGAGAUUCUGAGGAAAUUGGAUUUUACAUGGAUGUUUUAUUCGGGCAGAGGCUUUAGUGUAUAUAAAUACAGCCGAGGAGGCCUUGGCGGCAAGGAUGAGUGAGGCGAGACAAUCCUGCCUGGGGCCUGGAGGCUCAGGGGAGGCAGACAGGCCAUGUGCUCAGCUCUGGGUCCCAGACCUGGACAUCCGCGCAUUUCCUCCUCAGCAUCUGAGACUAAAAGAGGUUAAUGCCUCUGAACAGCUCCUCAAAAACUGCCUUGGGAAUUUUAAAAGUGUGUAAUUGUUGACAGCACCAUGUACUGAGAAAAGAAGGAAAUAUACUCAAGAAGUUUGAGGACUGAUUCAGUAAAUAUUUAUUGAACCCUUAAGUUGUGAAAUUGUGUUUGGGGCACAUGAGUAUGGUAGACAUGGCUGCUGAUUUCAAGGACAGUUUGGAGAAUGACAACCUGGGGUUUCAGGUUAGGGACAAGGAAGGGGAAAGUUGUGGAAGUGGGUACUGAGAUCACUUCUCUGAUCAUCCAAUCACCUGAGAAGCCUGGAUGAAGAAGCAGAAGGGAAGAGGGUCAAGCUGGGGGAUGGAGAGUCCUACCAGCUCUCCAGUCUCUCUGUCCUGGGCUGGUCAGCAGAGUUUCUGGGAACAUUUUAGACAACUGUAGUCACCAAAUCUAUAGGCAAGUUCACAUCCAAAAUGUUUGCAGGAAAUCUGAUGAAAUCCUUCAGAGGGCUAGGGUGAUAGAUCAUCAAGGAGCAAGGUGAGGCCUUCCAGAGAGACCAGCUGCAAGGCAUGAAGAGGGCCUGAGUGAGAAACCCUUUGUGGGAGACCUAAAUUGAAGCUGUAGCCCAAAUCAUUUCGUUUCUUGAAAGAAGAGCUCAUGAGCCAACCCAUGAUUGAAGAACUGGUAUUAAGGUACUCACCAGGCCCACUUACCUGUGUAUGAGAACCAAGUCAACCUGGAGAUGCACAAGGGCAGCAGCUAAGUGGAGGAAAUCUCAGGUAACAGGAAGGCUGUCUGUGAGAAUUCCCAUCAGGAACUGAAGCAUCCAGCAAGGAGAGCCGAACACUGCCUUCUUAGGAGAGAGUCCUGGCAGUCUUCUGGAUACUGGGGGCCCCAAACCCAAUCAGGUUCCAAGUGCCAGACUAUUAUUUCUAUGGAGGCAUUCCCAGCCUGAUCUCAAAUGCAAGAAGGGAACGAAGACUCUGCUCACCUCAGUUGGGCCCUGAAGGCGAGACAAUCAGAGCUCCCAGCUCUGGGGCCUGGAAAGGCAGAGCCAGAGGAGGAACCUAGGACCACAAUGUCUGGCCAGUGGGUUAAUUGGAUCUCUUUGCUCAAACCUAGCCUCUUUGCUUGGCUCCUGGAAGAAGGAAGCUACCCUUCAAAAUCCAGAGCCAUAAGCCAAAGCAGUCUUAAACAAGUGUUUCAGCCAAGGGAACUUGAGCUUAAGAGUCUGGUCUCCUCCCUCCUCAUCCCACUUCUCAAAGACAAAAAAGACAUAGUCCAUCCCAUCAUAUGGUCACAAUCCAGUGGGGGAGGCAGGCAUGACAAUAAGGAAGUAAAACAGGAGUGAGAGACGACAGGCUGCAGUGAAGACAAAAAACAGAACAGGGGUCAGUUCAACCUAACACUUCCUAGAGGAGCUGGUGCUUCAGCUAAUUUGUAAAUGUGGGCAGAAUAGAAGGGGGAAGGAAAGGAAGGGCCCAUAAGGCAAGGGGAAUGGCAUAUACAAAAGCCUUGGGGCAUCGAACAGCAUGGCUCAUUUGGAGACCUGCUGUACAGAGGGUGGGGUGGAAAGGUCACUCUGGGAGAGGCCGGGGGCAGGGGACAGAUAGUAAAGGGCCGUGGGCAGUUGUGCUUUUAUAGGGGAGGGCAUUAGCAGGGGAAUGACUUGCAUUUCAGAUAACUAGCUCUGAAGAAGAUGAAGAGAACGAAGAUGGGAAUGUAGCCAGAAACACUGGAGGCUGGGAGGUCAAUAAGGAGGCUCCUACAACUGUGAGGCGAGAGACAAAGAGGACCCGAACUGUGGCAGUGGGGUUGGGGGUCCUGAGACUGGGGAGAGCCUUACAAGGGCAUGGACAGGAUUUUGUCCACUGGUUGGAGGUGGGAUGUGAUGGGGGAGAGGAUUCCUGGAUGACAUCCUUGGGUGAAAAAUUGGGAGUGAUGGAGGUGGGGAACAGAA